CUUCUUACCAAUGCCUAACCACCACACGAGCAAUCACUUGCCGCCAAUACUCUCAUGCCUGAAACCAAUCCCUUAUCCCCUUUGCUUUAUCCAUCAGCCAAACAUCAUUUCCAGCAUCCGAAAGAUGCACGCCAUCAAACCGGUAGAGGGCCUCACAGUUGAAACGUAGGCCCGGGUGUUCAAUGACCGUCCCACCCAGGGCUGCCACUCUACGCACCACCGCCCAAUCCAAGGCUUUCCUAGCCCUAUUCAUGGCUAUCAGGCACCUGCAAUCUCUCGAAACCCGCCUCUCCAUCAACGAGACCCAAAUAAUUGUGAUGUUCGGGUAAGAGGCCUUAAGCUCCUCAAAGUCACUAAAUAUGUGCCACUGCAAAUCAACUGCCUUUCUGUAAGCUAGGUCAUUUUCUCCCAAUUGUAUCAGUAAUGCAUCUGGGGGGCCCUCCACUGCUGCUCUGGCCUUAAUUGCGGGCAACAUCUCGGCCCAGCGCAUUCCCCUCCGAGAGACCCAGGAUAUAGUGAUGUCAGACGGUAAGCCUAGGCGCGGCCCGAGACCGGAAUUGAUGGCGCGGACCCUGGCCCAAUGCACAAUGCUGUGCCCGAUUAUCUCCUGUAAGAAAAUUGAAAGAACAGGCCAUGGUCAGUUAACCCCAGGUGAGCCGUCAUAAAUUUUUUCUAACAUAGCGUUUGUAAGCAUCUGAUUUCCAGCGGCC
Non-coding RNA from Podarcis lilfordi (Lilford's wall lizard), 710 nucleotides. NCBI's taxonomy places the organism in Eukaryota, Metazoa, Chordata, Lepidosauria, Squamata, Lacertidae. The record is from the annotation of a GenBank genome assembly.